This 406-nucleotide ribosomal RNA is filed under the name uncultured bacterium. RNAcentral describes it as "partial 16S ribosomal RNA". It matches the Rfam family "Bacterial small subunit ribosomal RNA", at positions 29 to 526 of the family's 1533-position model. The record is from RNAcentral.
AUCGAACGCUGGCGGCAGGCCUAACACAUGCAAGUCGAACGAGUGGCGGACGGGUGAGUAAUGUCUGGGAAACUGCCUGAUGGAGGGGGAUAACUACUGGAAACGGUAGCUAAUACCGCAUACCAUCAGAUGUGCCCAGAUGGGAUUAGCUAGUUGGGGGGGUAACGGCUCACCAAGGCGAAGAUCCCUAGCUGGUCUGAGAGGAUGACCAGCAAACCUGGAACGGGGAAAGGGCCCAGACUCCUACGGGGGGCAGCAGUGGGGAAUAUGGCACAAUGGGCGCAAUCCUGAUGCAGCCAUGCCGCGUGUAUGAAGAAGGCCUUCGGGUUGUAAAGUACUUUCAGCGGGGAGGCGUUACCCGCAGAAGAAGCACCGGCUAACUCCGUGCCAGCCGCCGCGGUAAUAC